Molecule: ribosomal RNA, 378 nt
Filed under: Triticum aestivum (bread wheat)
Lineage: Eukaryota; Viridiplantae; Streptophyta; Magnoliopsida; Poales; Poaceae
Description: partial small subunit ribosomal RNA
Source: RNAcentral
AUGGCCCAAGGCCCUGCUCGCUGCCUUCCCUCCUCGAUCCCCUCCAUCCUCCUUCCGCCGCCACACACACACACACAGAGGAGCGAGACCUCCUCACGCUCGAUCCCCAUGGCGCCUCGUGCAACAGCUGGCCGCACGACCCACCUACCGCGACGAGCUAUGCGCCCCUUCUCCUCCCUGACUCCUCCUUGCCCGCGACCUCCAACCUCCUCAUCGCCUUGCUCAGCCUUGACCUUCGCUCCAGCUCCUCACGCCCUCAAGCUCCCUUGUCUGCCGCCCCUGCUAUGGCCGCCGCUUCUGUCUUCCCCACCGCCAAGCAUCACCGUCACGCCCUCCUCCUUGCCUUGGAGCCCCGCGCCUCGUCCUCGUGUCUCCUAA